CCUACGGGAGGCUGCAGUGGGGGAUAUUGCACAAUGGGGGGAACCCUGAUGCAGCGACGCCGCGUGGGUGAAGAAGCGCCUCGGCGCGUAAAGCCCUGUCAGCAGGGAAGAAAAUGACGGUACCUGAAGAAGAAGCCCCGGCUAACUACGUGCCAGCAGCCGCGGGAAUACGUAGGGGGCAAGCGUUCUCCGGAUUUACUGGGUGUAAAGGGGGCGCAGACGGCGAUGCAAGCCAGGAGUGAAAGCCCGGGGCCCAACCCCGGGACUGCUCUUGAAACUGCGUGGCUGGAGUGCAGGAGGGGCAGGCGGAAUUCCUGGUGUAGCGGUGAAAUGCGUAGAUAUCAGGAGGAACACCGGUGGCGAAGGCGGCCUGCUGGACUGCAACUGACGUUGAGGCCCGAAAGCGUGGGGAGCAAACAGGAUUAGAUACCCGGGUAGUC
RNAcentral lists this ribosomal RNA (440 nucleotides) under uncultured bacterium. RNAcentral describes it as "partial 16S ribosomal RNA". It matches the Rfam family "Bacterial small subunit ribosomal RNA", at positions 338 to 795 of the family's 1533-position model. The record is from RNAcentral.